AAAAGAACAUCAAAGAUAAUGUUUUAGCAGUAGAAAGAGGAGAUUUAGUAUAUCACCUGUAAGAAGAUCUUCAGAUACAACUACAACAAUCAAUGCAAGAAACAACAACACCAGGCCUGCAAAAAUGGUAUCUGUUCCUGCAACUGUUUCAUCCCUUGUAACGGGUAAUAGCAAUGAUAAUGGUUGUGGAGGUGGAGAAUCUGCAAAGCUACAACUGUUAUUAAGAGGAUUACAGUUAGGAGAAAUGUAGGCGCAGCCUCACCGCGUUCUCAAUCUCCUGCAAGAGCAAAUGGGAAUGCAGCAAAUCUCCUUAGCCGCAGCUCCUCAAGGAAAGCAUAAGAAUCGCCAUACAGAAGAAAUCCAUUGCGUGAGCUUGCACCUAACACUUUUCCUAUUCCACAUUCAACAACGAACUAUAACAGCAGCCGACUGGAAAGUAGAUCCAAGAAGGAAGCUGAAUUUGAAGCUAAUCAUCUAUACAUGUCAUUUACCAUAUAAGACGGCUUUUGCUUUAAAUUGUAAAGUACGACUACAUUUGAUAUGUGCAAUUUUAAAAUGUAUGAUUAUGUUAUUAGUAACACAAUAAAGUAUGUAUUUGAUGAAUGACAUAUAAAGUCAAAAGAGUGGCAAAAACAAAUGUUAUGCAUUUUAAUAAGUCCAGGCGAUGUGAGUGUUUUUUCAAUACUAGUGAAAUUGUUAACGUCGUUUAAGUGACUUUAGAAGAUGUAAAUGCAAU
Molecule: long non-coding RNA, 736 nt
Filed under: Cicer arietinum (chickpea)
Lineage: Eukaryota; Viridiplantae; Streptophyta; Magnoliopsida; Fabales; Fabaceae
Description: long non-coding RNA (CARI_LNC001503)
Source: RNAcentral